RNAcentral lists this long non-coding RNA (260 nucleotides) under Lathyrus oleraceus (garden pea). RNAcentral's name for it is "Pisum sativum (pea) long non-coding RNA (PSAT_LNC031333)". Lineage: Eukaryota; Viridiplantae; Streptophyta; Magnoliopsida; Fabales; Fabaceae. The record is from RNAcentral.
GUAUAGUGAUACCUUUCCCCUCAGAGUCACCUCUCUGUUGGUUUCGAUAAACGUCGAGUUUUUCCUAGUCGUCCAUUGGAGUCUAAUGGUAAUUUCCUUCUCCCUCUCCGUUGGUGUCGAUAAACGUCGAGCUUCUCCUUCUCCGUUGGUGUCGAUAAACGUCGAGUUUCUCCUUCUCCGUUGGUGUCAAUAAACGUCGAGCUUCUCCCGUUCGUCCGUUGACGUCUGGUCGAGUCUUUCCAAUCAUUCAUUAAUGUCUG